UUAGAUGAGAUGCCAAGUGAAGAAACAACUUCCAGCAUAUGGAAUAUUCCUAUUUUUUGCUUCUUUUAAGAAUGAUCUUCUCUAAGAGCCUCUGGUUCAUGUUAAUUCCAUCGACAAAGUGUAGCUCUGUCUCCCAGCUUUUUUCGCAAGGGUAUUUCCCACAUGCAUGUUCCUUUUUCCUCCUUCCACUACCCUCCACUCAGAAGGUUUUCCCAAGCAACCUUUUUUCCCCAGUGAUCCUCCAUGGGCCAAGCCUUCACAAUGAACUGAAAAGCCACAGAGACCAGCUUCUCCACGCAGACAAACCAUUUCUCCAAAAUGAGGCCAGCCAUCCUGUGCAUGACUUUGGACAGUCUCCAGGCAGGGACACAAUCACCAUAACCUACUGAGACCGCUGGAUGUUUAUAGAGAUUACUGAGUUGAUACCUUUUUAUUUGCCUCCCUAAAAUAUUAAAGUUGCAAGCCUCAGCUGAGCAAGACAAAGUUGAAAGGCUGUGGAACUAUGUAACAACAUCCCCUGCAGUACAAGCAGCAAGUGGAAAGUGGAGAUAAAUAAAUUAGCCCAACACUGGACACAGGUCAGACUCAAGGUGCUUGUUGGCUUGUGGAUCCAACUGGAAAGAGAGCACGAGCCAGAUUUGAUUUUUUACACUUCGCCAAACUUUCUUUGUCAUCCCUGACUGCUGUACCUCCGAACCUGUGUGCUG
Motacilla alba alba is the source of this 707-nucleotide long non-coding RNA. RefSeq lists it as uncharacterized. The record is from RefSeq and is a predicted model, not a curated record. Lineage: Eukaryota; Metazoa; Chordata; Aves; Passeriformes; Motacillidae. The transcript is spliced from 3 exons.